AUAUAGAAACAUUUGAUUUUUCCAGUUGUGACCUGCAUUACUUCAACAAAAUUUCUGGAUAUCAGUACUGUCACCGAUUUAGGUUACUCUACUACAUUAAGCAAUUGAGAAGAAAUUCCUAUUCUUGAUAUGCCGAUAGAUAUUGUUGAUGACCUUUAUGAUGGGAGAUACUACAGAUCAAUUAUCGAGUGCGAAACCUACGAUGACUUCUACUUCUUGUGAAGAAAGUAACUAAGAAAACUUUUUUACUGUCUGCCCAUUAAUAAAGUUUAUUUUUGCAGAAGCUACUGAUGGUCAAGUGCCAAAUAUUCAUGACAUUUAAUGAAUAUUCUGCAAAAACCCUACGAAGUAUUAGACAUCCCCGUUGAGCAUGCUUUUACUACAGAAUCCCUGCAACCAGUAAAUGAAAUGCAGACCAAAAAUUAUGCCGACGUAGGACUUUGUACUGACCAUAGUGACAUAGAAAAUGAUCUCUUUCUGAGUCAGAUGCUGAAGAUAAUUAUAUUAAGAAUCAGAACGAAAAUAUUCAUGAUGUUUUCAAUGAAAAUCGGAGCAGCAUAAACAUUAAAAAGGGAAAAAAGAGAGUAAAGAAUGAUUCAGAAUAUAAAAACAAAUGUAAGACAACAAGCAGGAACUUGUGGAAAAGUAUAUAUCUCUAGUAGAAAAACAUCAGUUCGUGCUAGACAACUAAAGGCAAAAUGCAAAGAAACCCGUAAGCUUAAAUGUUUGGGUUAUUUUCGAAGUUAUUUUCGAGAAAGAGCGUAUAAUAUUUUAAAAGUAAUUUUGGAAUAACGAUAUUGUUUACGAUAGAAAGAGACCGUUUAUAGCAGCUUGUAUAGAAGAAACCCAGGUACAGUCAGUGACAGCGGUCCGAAAUGGAGCUAGAGAAGGUAAAAGAGCUGCUACAUACUUCUAUUCUUUAACUUGAAACCCCAUUUAGAAGAAUUUAAAAAAAAUCCCUGAAAUUUUGGACAUAUCUCAAAAUUUUGCAGAUUAUCCCUUCGAAAAACCAUUGCAGGUUGGAAAGGUCAUAGGUCUCAGAAUAAAGUACCGGAUGAAAUUCGACAAAAUAACAUGAAUGUGACCUAAAUGUGAUUAAAAUACACCCACUUUACUCUGACCAGUGUAUAGCGGAAAAAUUCCCGCUUGGCCAAAUUGGAAAGUUGUGGCUUUAUAGAAUUAUAUAUUCUCAGUUUAGCCUAAUAUUUAAAACACCUGUGAUGCCUAUUAGUAACAAAGAGCUGCUAAAAAUACGAAAAACAAAAAAGUUAUUACGAUUGAUCAUGAAAAAUGUUUGCCAAUUUCAUUCCUCAAAAAUGCACAAAGCUUCUACUCCCUUAAACAUUGAACCUUACAAUUCAUAGCUCAACCAUUAAUAACACCCUUUGUAUGAUGUGGGAUGAGACUGUUUCUGCUAGAUGUGGAAACGAAAUUUCGUCUUUAAUUUUAUUUUAAAAUGACUAUUAAUUUCCCCUCUAGAUAAUCAAAUUGAAGAGUUGGCAAUAUGAUCAGACAACUGUCCUUCCCAGAAUAGGAAUUUAAUGACUGUGAUGUGUUAUCUUUACAUUGUUUCUAUUUGCCCAAAGCUUAAAAUCAUCAACCAUAAACACCUACUAAGAGGGCACAUACAUCUUAAAGCAGAUACUGACAUUGUAUUAAUUGAGAGGCAAAAAAAGGAAGCUGCUUUUGAUAGAUAACCACUCCAAGGGCAACUUGUAAGAAUUAGCUCUCGAAAGUUCUCUGUAAUUAAUAUGGGUACAAAUGAUUUCUUGGACUCGGAGUUUUGUAUUAUUUUAUAUUAUUAUAUUAUUAUAGAAUUUCUAUAACCAUGUUACAUAAGCAGCCUGAUAGGUAAAAACGAACACCACACUCUAAAAUGGCCUUCCCCCAAAAGCAUUCAACUCGUGUUCGCACUAAGAUCGAGAUCAUGCGCGUUCGCCUGGACGGCUACAUCCAUGGAAGUUUUGGACUGUCGUGAACCGCGAUUUUUUUCAAAUCCGACGCUUACAGUCGAAUUGAGAGAGCUCUGGGCAUUUUGCAACUGUUUGAUCUCCGGGCAGCUGGAACUGUCGCUGUGGUGGCCUUUUUGAUGGCGAGCCUCGCACGAACCCGAAUCGGAGCUGUAUUUUUUUCUGUAAAUAAAUUUAAUAGAGAAAAGUGAAGUUUUGGCUCAUAGUUUCGAAAAGUAAAGAUAAUGUUUAAUGACAAAUUUAUUAUGUUUUAGUAUUACCACAGAUUAAAUAUUAACAGAUACGAAAGUAAAGCGAGAUCGCCGAUUUCAAAACAUCUUUUAGUCACGCCUCUCCAGAAGCCGCCGGCGUCUUGUCGCAGAGUACAGGAGCCAGUCCUCGCGAGUGUGUAUUGCGUCUAAUUUCAAAUCGCACAUUUGUGCGUAGGCAUGUAGCUAUUUUAUCAAAAUGAUUGUGCAUAAAUGUAUUUAAGGUUCCAAUAAAACUGAUAAACGAAAGUCACUUUUUGGAUUUUUAAGAAAUUAGGCAAAAGACAAAGUACCCUCAUAGAAAAUAGUCGCAAGGAUUUAGGUCUGGUGACCUGGCCGGCCACGCUAUUGGCCCUCUUCGUUCUAUUUAUCUUCCUGGGAACACUGUCUGGUCUUGUUCGUCUGAGUAUGGGGCAGCCAAAGGAGGGAUAAGAUCUUCUUGAAGAAAAUUCAAAUAGCGUUGUCCUGUUAAGUUUUCUUCGAAAAAGUAUGGCCCUAUUACUUUAUUUUCCACGAUACUUAUUAUUUAAAUGUAAUAUAUUUCUUAUUCUUAUUA
This 2774-nucleotide long non-coding RNA is filed under the name Anthonomus grandis grandis. Its description in RNAcentral is "uncharacterized LOC126737095". The record is from RNAcentral. Lineage: Eukaryota; Metazoa; Arthropoda; Insecta; Coleoptera; Curculionidae.